UACCGGCAGCUCAAGUGGUAGCCGCGAUUAUUGGGCCUAAAACGUUCGUAGCCGGAUAAGUAAGUCUUUGGUUAAAUCCUGCGACUCAACCGUGGGAAUUCUAGAGAUACUGCUCGUCUUGAGACCGGGAGAGGUUGGAGGUACUCCUAGGGUAGGGGUUAAAUCCUGUAAUCCUAGGGGGACCACCUGUGGCGAAGGCGUCCAACUGGAACGGGUCUGACGGUGAGGGACGAAACCUAGGGGAGCGAGC
Molecule: ribosomal RNA, 250 nt
Filed under: uncultured archaeon
Lineage: Archaea
Description: partial 16S ribosomal RNA
Rfam family: Archaeal small subunit ribosomal RNA
Source: RNAcentral